This 1203-nucleotide ribosomal RNA is filed under the name uncultured bacterium. RNAcentral's name for it is "bacterial SSU rRNA". It matches the Rfam family "Bacterial small subunit ribosomal RNA", at positions 1 to 1248 of the family's 1533-position model. The record is from RNAcentral.
AAGCGUACGACGGCAGUGAUUAGAGUUUGAUCCUGGCUCAGGAUGAACGCUAGCUACAGGCUUAACACAUGCAAGUCGAGGGGAAACGAUAUAGAAAGCUUGCUUUCUUUAGGCGUCGACCGGCGAAUGGGUGAGUAACGCGUAUCCAACCUGCCCCUGAGUAAGGGAUAGCCCAUCGAAAGAUGGAUUAAUACCUUAUGGUCUCCUUUGCAGACAUCUAAUUAGGAGUAAAGAUUUAUCGCUGAGGGAUGGGGAUGCGUCUGAUUAGCUUGUUGGCGGGGUAACGGCCCACCAAGGCAACGAUCAGUAGGGGUUCUGAGAGGAAGGUCCCCCACAUUGGUACUGAGACACGGACCAAACUCCUACGGGAGGCAGCAGUGAGGAAUAUUGGUCAAUGGACGGAAGUCUGAACCAGCCAAGUAGCGUGCAGGAAGACUGCCCUAUGGGUUGUAAACUGCUUUUAUACGGGGAUAAAGUCAGGGUCGUGACCCUGUUUGCAGGUACCGUAUGAAUAAGGACCGGCUAAUUCCGUGCCAGCAGCCGCGGUAAUACGGAAGGUCCAGGCGUUAUCCGGAUUUAUUGGGUUUAAAGGGAGCGUAGGCCGGAGAUUAAGUGUGUUGUGAAAUGUAGAUGCUCAACAUCUGCACUGCAGCGCAUACUGGUUUCCUUGAGUACACGCAACGUUGGCGGAAUUCGUCGUGUAGCGGUGAAAUGCUUAGAUAUGACGAAGAACUCCGAUUGCGAAGGCAGCUGACGGGAGUGCAACUGACGCUGAAGCUCGAAAGUGCGGGUAUCGAACAGGAUUAGAUACCCUGGUAGUCCGCACGGUAAACGAUGGAUGCCCGCUAUUCGCUCGAAUGAGUGAGUGGCCAAGCGAAAGCAUUAAGCAUCCCACCUGGGGAGUACGCCGGCACGGUGAACUCAAAGGAAUUGACGGGGCCCGCACAGCGAGACAUGUGGUUUAUCGAUGAUACGCGAGACUUACCGGGCUGAUGCAGAUGACGAUCAAGAUGUGAGCCCUUCUGGCAUCUGUGAGUGCUGCAUGUGUCGUCAGCUCUGCCGUGAGGGUCGCUAUGCAUAACGAGCGCACCUGUUCUAGUGCAUCAGUAUGCUGGCAUCUGAAACUGCACGUAAGGUUGAGAAGUGGGAUACUCAUCAACCGGCUUACUCGGGCUACACGUUCAUUGCGGUACAGAAUUGUUC